RNAcentral lists this ribosomal RNA (439 nucleotides) under uncultured bacterium. RNAcentral describes it as "partial 16S ribosomal RNA". It matches the Rfam family "Bacterial small subunit ribosomal RNA", at positions 339 to 795 of the family's 1533-position model. The record is from RNAcentral.
CUACGGGAGGCUGCAGUGGGGAAUUUUGCGCAAUGGGGGAAACCCUGACGCAGCAAUACCGCGUGAGUGAAGAAGGCCUUUGGGUCGUAAAGCUCUUUUCUUGGGGAAGAUAGUGACGGUACCCAAGGAAUAAGCACCGGCUAACUCCGUGCCAGCAGCCGCGGUAAUACGGAGGGUGCAAGCGUUGUUCGGAUUUACUGGGCGUAAAGGGCACGUAGGCGGCACAGCAAGUUAAGGGUGAAAUCCCGGGGCUCAACUCCGGAACUGCUCUUAAAACUGCUGAGCUAGAGAUAGUCAGAGGCGGGUGGAAUUCCAGGUGUAGAGGUGAAAUUCGUAGAUAUCUGGAGGAACACCGGUGGCGAAGGCGACCCGCUGGGGCUAUUCUGACGCUAAGGUGCGAAAGCGUGGGGAGCAAACGGGAUUAGAUACCCGGGUAGUC